CCAGCACAUGUGUAACAAUGCUGUAAAACACUGUGUGCAUGUGUGUGUGUGUGUGUGUGUGCAGCCUCCCAGGUCAUAUCUAUACCCAGGAACUACUUAAACUGUUUUAAAAUCCAUUAAGAACUGAGGGGUGAGAGGCAAAAGCUAUUAGCCAGAUCACUGAGGGAGAACUAAACAUGGGUCAUCUUGGUCUCCUCCUUCCUCUACUAAAUCCAAGUGUCCCAAACACUGAAAACUGGGCACUGGACCUGAAGGACAGUGCACAUAUUCCUUCAUGUAAGCAAUGGAAAGCUCAGUCAGCCCUACUUCCUGCACUUUCUGACCUUUUGUAUAGGCAGGAAUUAAAGAAAAUUUAAAGGCUCCCAGAGAAAAAAAGACAAUUUUAUAUAUUGCUCUAUAUAUUAACCAUUACAAUCUUAGGAAUGUUCCAGAACCAAGGCAAAAGCAAUUAAUUUUCAUUUAAGUGAGGUGGUUUUCUUAUCUUCUCCCUCCAGAGACUCUCCCCACUGCUGCAUAAGGGGCCUACAGGGCAGUAACAGGAGCGUUCAGCUACACUUUGCUGUUUUUCUAGAAAAGGAAGUGAAAGUGCACUAACAUAGAAAGAACCUUAAAUUAAUGCUGCAGAUCAGCAAGAGCCACCUCACUCUGCCUGGGAGUGUCUCAUGGCCCCAGAUUAUCCAGCACACUCUGCAGACAGUCUGGACACCUCCUAAGCCACUUUGCUCCUCUGGAUGUCCUUCUCCUCACUUUUCCUGCACGCUGAGAGAGAGCAGGUGUCCAUCCACUGACCCCCAGCCAGGUGCUGAAAUGAAAUCCCAAGCUCCAGUGCACAGCAAAAGCAAAACCUUAGGAUGGAAAAAGGCUUCCCAGAGCUAUUUAAGAGGCAUCCUAACACAUGCCAGUGAAAUUCUGGGCUUCAGGAACUGCAAAUAGUUCAAACCUGAGUCUUUUCAGCAGCUGAAAACGGAUGGAGAACACGUCAGAAUGUGCUGUAAGAUAGUUAGCAACUGCAGGCCUCAGAACGGGAAAGCUCACUGACUUUACAGCACAGCACUGAUAGGAAUCCUGGCUUUACCAAGAAUUGCUUUAUCUAUCCCAGCUCUGCCUGUAACUCACGGCCCACCUCAUAAAACAAGUCCUUAUUUCAAGUGUUCUGAGCCUCUAACUCCAGCUUGAAGCCCAGGGUACACAUAUAAUAGAGAGAAACAAGAAGUAUUUCAAGCAAGUCCUCAGCUCUGCAGACAGAUCCCCACAGCAAACAAAGCUUCACUUGGCAAACCCCGGCCAUGCCCCGUGGCCUGAAGUCAACAGGCCUAAAGGCAAUGGGUUCCAAAGACAAACCCAAAUACACCACAAUGACACUGGACUGACACAGCCCCUCUCCUCUCCUGGCACUGCCUUCCAAACAGCAUCUCAGCAAAGCCUCUCAUCCAACACCAUCUGCAAACCCAGCUUCACUGGAAAGGAAACCCAAUGCUUCCAGUCAAGACAACUGAGGCUUCCCUGGAAGUAUGAGAACACAAAAGUUAAGACCUUAAGUGCAUUAUAAUCCCUCUCCUUUUCCUAUGGAGAUCCUAACCUUAAUUAAACACAUCUUAAUUUUU
This is a long non-coding RNA of Parus major (Great Tit), 1604 nucleotides long. RefSeq lists it as uncharacterized. Lineage: Eukaryota; Metazoa; Chordata; Aves; Passeriformes; Paridae. The record is from RefSeq and is a predicted model, not a curated record. The transcript is spliced from 2 exons.